AACCACAACGUUAAUGGUUAACAACAAGCUUACAACAACCUUAAUAAAGUGGCGAGACUUACAUCAAAGACACAAAAUCUAGAAAUGAUUGGAACUUGACUUGAAAAGAUCCAAACGCAUAAGGUUCUUCUUGUUAAUAAACAUGAACCAUUUAGAUUUUCAAUAUACUAAUACAAACUAAGACAAAUAUCUUCUCCAAUCACCACCCCAAAUCAUUACCAAACGCACAACUGUAACUAAGCAAGAAGUACAUUAGGACCAAUCUCUUAAUCGUUGUCACGGAUUGGUCGCGUGUCAAUCAAGAUCAUCAAGAUCACUUUUAUGUCUUAGUGCUUCUUCUUCUUCUUCUUCUUGUUAUUAUUAUAUUUUGGUUUCUUGAGCAAAAAGUGUUAUGUUGUGAUCUUCAUUUGCCUUAGAGACAGAUAAGCUAGGAGGCGGUAACCGAAGAUCAUGGCAACGAGUGCAACCACUUCAGUCAGUCCAUUGUCUAUUCUCAUCCCGUUGAUAGAUUGAGCAAAGUCUUUAUACUGCACUUUAAGAAGAAGCUUGUAGGUGUGGUAAUUGAAGGAUAGGUAACGUAUCCAGGAGAUGAACACCGGUACUUUCUGAAGGACACAAAACAAAAGAGCUCAGAAACAGAGGAAAUCAAGAAACAAAGGAAAUCAAGAAACAGAGAACUUACCUUAACAAAGAAUCCUCCUGCGAGCAUAAAUGUCAUGACAGUAACUGAAGCCAAAGUCGUAGCCUUCUUUAAGUCCAUUAAGAUUGCUCCAAUAGCAAGUCCAAGUCCCUAGCAAAGAGUAAACAUAACUCAAACUCACCAUUUUGAUCUUACUUUCCCAUUAUAGAAAUGUGUUUUUUGGUCAAUCAGAACAUACCUGAGAUGCAAUGAUGCAAAGGAAGACCGUGAGCAUGCUCAAGAAGAAAGGAUACGGGCUAAGACGAAGACCAGUCAUGAAAUAGACCACGAGGAGGAAGAGAGAAGGCAGGAUAAAGUCUAGAGGGAGAUCACUCGUGGUCCUAGCCAAGAAAUACGCACUUAGUCUAUACAUAUCAGCUGCUCUCUCUUUAUUCAGCAUAGCUCGCUCUUGAGGGAACGCAAAGAUGGCUGUGAAAACAGGGAAGAACCCCCAGAAAACCGCUAUGAAGAAGAGCAAACCAGCCUGUAAACAACAAAAAAGAUCAUGUGAUAUUCAUGUUUCUUGAGGUACAAGGCAGAGAGGAGUGUGCAUCAAGAUACCUACCUGAUCUUGUAGUCCUCUUGGAGUGCGAAUAUCUGACUGCCACCAGAGAAGACCUAGAAUAACAGCUGUGGAUAAAACUUGUGUGACACGCAACCAGCUGAAGUAUUCGUGUCUGCGCUCUUUGAGUCCUCUAGAGAAGAGUAUGCAGUAUUGCUCCCACCAGCUCGCUCCCCAUUGUCUCUUUAGACGCAGAACUUUAGCUUUAGCUUCUUCGUCAAGUGGAACAGGAUCAGAUAGUUUCUUCUUCUCCUGUUCUGCAACCCUAGUCUCGUAUGCCUCCACCAGAUACUGCUUAGAAUGUUCCAAUAUAUAUUAAAACUCAUUUUGUUCCUUUUUAAUGAAUUUUAAAUUUAUUCACAUAAAAAAAACCUUGUUACAAUAGAUGUAUUGUUUGCUAAAGAAUUUAGAAAAAAGAGUUCUUUAAGUUUUUUGAAUGAAUUUUUUUACAUCUUUCAUUAUUGUUUGCUAAAGAAUUUAGAAAAAAAAUAAUCUUUAAUAUAAUUUUUUGAAUGAAUUUUUUUACAUAUUUGAUUAAUUUUUUAUGAAAGAGUAGUCUCUCUAUUUUAUUUUUUUAAACUCAAUUUGGUUUUCAGACAAUCUUAAGUUGUUGUUUGUGUGAUUACCUCAUGGACAGCAGCAGGAGAUGGCUUGCCAGUUUGAGGUUCUCUGCCUGAGUUUCCUACUUGAACUCUAUCUUCCAAAUCAGAAGGCACAGAGAUGUCGUUGAUGUUACCGUUGGCGAGAUCAAGCAAGAACUCAGCAGGGUUCAUGGUGAUAAGAGGAGAGCAACCAAUGGAAGAAAAGUAAACAAGAGCUUCUGAUGAUUUCCCAAAAUAGAGAAGGUUUCCUCUUCCUAAUAGAAUCAGCUUAUCGAAUCUAUGGAAGAGUCUACUAGAUGGCUGAUGUAUCGUUGUGAUCACUGUCUUCCCCGCCUGUUCCAAACACACAUCAAGAUUCAGACAACCAUCAAAGAGAGUAGUAGAGAGAUACAAAGUGUCUGAAACAAGCAAACCUCAGCGAUGUCGUGGAGCAUCUGGAUGGUUCUUAGAGCAGUGGUGGAGUCUAAACCGGAAGUUGGUUCAUCAAGAAGUAAUAGAGAAGGGUUAAUGAUGAUCUCGUUUCCAAUGGAAACUCUUUUCCUCUCUCCACCUGAUACACCUCUCACGAAUGCUCCACCAAUCAUAGUGUCUUGACACCUCUCCAGACCUAGCUCUUGGAUAACUUCAAUAGCACGCUGCUCCUUUUGCUCCCUUGUGAGAGUUUUAGGUAGACGCAAACGAGCAGCGUAGGUUAGCGUUUCUUUAACCGUAAGAUGAGGAAACAGAACAUCGUCUUGAGUCACAAACCCAAUCCUGCCAUCAAACCAGAAAAAAAAAAUUGAGUCUCCAUAUAUACAAUAAUACAAGAGAGUUUAGGGUUUAGGGCAAAAAGAUACUUACUUGCUUUUCAAGUAUUUAGAGUAAGGCUUGUCGUUGUAAGUAACAGAGCCUCCACUGGCGGAUUGAGAGAUUCGGCCACCGAGUAAGCUAAGAAGAGUUGUUUUGCCACUCCCUGAAGGACCCAUGAGUCCUCAGAGUUUUGAAGUCUUUCAUGCCAAAAUUAGGACCAUGACCUCAUCGAUGGAAACAUAUGGACCAAAUGUCUCAAGUUCAGAUGUUACAAGUAUGAAUCACUUUCUAAGUUCGUCGGUUCAUUCUAUUGGUGGUAAUAUGGUCAUGCCUAGCAAGUGGAUUGCAGAAGCAAUGGAUAUUGGCUGCUGCAAACUCAAAACCUGAUAAGCAAACUGUCUUUUCCCUUAUGUUUCAGCCAAACGAAGAAGAGAUAGUUCUUGUCCCAAAAAGGGACAAUGAGAUUUGGUUUGGCUGUAAACAGGCAACUCAUCUUUGGCUCAUCCUUUCAUUAAGUUUGUUUACUUCGUCUGUUUUCUUAUACACAUCUUCAAGACUGGUGAGUAAAACCAUGGUUUAGCUUGAGUUUCAAGUAUAACUACUGAAGAAACAAUGAUUGGUUUGCUACUACCCUCUUGUUCCAACCAGUUUGUGUUUGUGGGAUAAAAAUACUCAGUUUGCCAGAUUAAUGAUGUUGUCUUGUGUGCAUGUGUUUUUGAAGAAAAAAAAAAGAAUAAAGAACUCUUCCUUUAACCUUUCCAUAGUUUAAGAGCUUUAUCAAGACCACCAGAAGCUACUUUCUCACCAUCUGGACUCCAAUCCACAGCCCAAACCUUUCCAACACAACAAAAAAAACGAAAAAUUAUGAGAGAAAAGAGUGUAAAAAAAAAAAGCAAAACCAACAACUUGAGCUUUGAAGUAGUUUGAUACCUCAUCCUUAUGACCAGGGAGAUCAUGUUUUAGCUUUUUUGUUCCAAUCUCCCAUACCUGUCAAAGUCAAACAUAUUGAGGUUUAUUUGGUAGUUCUACUCUCUACUGUGUUAUCAAAUGUAAAAACAGGAUUUCACCUUGAGAGUUGAAUCUUUGCUGCAACUCAAAAGCAUCCUACUGUCAGGUGACCAACUGAUCUGAUAGACACAGUUAGCGUGGCCUCGGAAUGCUGUAAUAAAUUUUCCUGUGACACCAUCCCAUAGCUUCACAGAUUUAUCGAACGAUGCACUUGCAAUCCAUUGCCCAUUUGGUGAGAAAUACACAUGGUUUACAAGCUGUUUAUUGAGUUGACACCAAACAAAAUGUAAGAGUUCAAAAAUAAAAACAGAAACAAAAAAAAAAAAAAAAGUUUAGUAGCUAGUAGUAACCUGUUGAUGACCAGUACCAACCUGGCUGUAGUAACCAUUUUUUGUUUAGGUUGUAAGCUAACGGAUGGUUCCCAAAGGAUUAUCGUAAAAUCAUCAGAACCAGACACUAAUCUUUCAGGAGAAUCUACUUUCCCUUUUGCUUUGAUGUAUCUUUCAAGUGCAAUCUUACCACACAUAUAGGGAGAGGAUCAGAAUCAGGCUAGAAAAAGACGAGGCAAAGCCAGUAGAAUCAUCAGAAGCUUAUUGUUACCUUUUUCAUUUCUUCAUCUGAACCUGUUACUUGUCUAGUGUUGUCAAACGCUCCUGUCCGAAGAACAUAUUCUGUACUCAAUGAAAGGGAGUUCACCCAACCGGCAUGGUCCUGAAGAAGCAAGUAACUUGAGAAAUGUUAUCUUAAAGUAAAGACCUAGGAGACAAAAAAAAGUUACCUUCAAUAUAUGUUUGAGGAUUCCUUGACCCUGCUGAGUGAUCUCCCACAUCCUUAUGGUACUAUCUUGUGAACUGCACAAUAACAUGUUAACAAGAUAAAACACCAAUAAGAAACAUUUCAGGUUAUUAUAAAAAUGUAUGUACCCUGUGUAUAUAGUUCCAUCACCACCCCAUUUGACACAGGUCACAGCUCGUGUGUGUCCACUGAGGACAAUAAGAGUUCUCUUCAGUGUAAAGUCCCAGAUCCUUGCAUCCCCAUCUUUGCCACAAGUCACAAAUCUCCUGCUUGGAUAACUAAGAUGAGCUGGUUCCCACGCGAUACCACAAAUCCACUUCUUGUGACCCUACGAAAAAUUGAAGAUCUAUCAGUAAACACACACAAAAAAAAACAUAACCAACAAAACAUUUAUAAAGUAAAGAAGAGUUUAACUGAAAGUGCAUUGCCCUGUAAUUCUCCUUUGCUUGGAUCCCAACAACAGACUUUUCCAUCUCUAUCACCGCUCACAAGACACUUUGCAUCUGGUGACCAUGCAACUGCGAGAACAUGUUCCUUGUGCCCUGAACAAACGUUACAGGAACUAUGUUUAUUACAAGAAAUCUAAAUAUAGAUAGACAUCAUUAAAAAGAAAAUCAUAAGACGUUUCGAACCUUUGCAUGUAAACAUUGGAGUUUCAGUGUUGAGAUCCCAAAGCCUUACAGUUUUAUCACCUGAACCACUUGCUAGUUGCUUACCGUCAGGGCUAAACGAAACACAGAGAAUCUCACCCUCAUGAACUAACAAAAGCCAAUCAUAAUCACUCGAACCAUCUCUUCUAAAACUCAAAUACAAAAAUCAACAUUAACUUUAACAUAUAAUAUAUAUAUACCAUCGCUUAUUGUCUGUGAGCAACGGUAAACCGGGCGAAUCCUGAAAACAGCUUGUUGUCGAUAAACAAUCUUCAAAACAUUCUCCACGGACACUAAACCACACAUGUUCAUGUCAAAACAUUAAUAAAAAAUAUACUAAGAUAAUGUUUUCUAUAGAAAACAUAAGAGACCAAACUGCUUUGCUUAUUAUUAGGGUUUUACCGCUAUUUCUCUCCAUGCAAGUUCCCACUGAGACAAGAAGCUCUUCAUCUGAUACAUAGAAGCUGUAAGAUAACUUCUCCUCCUGGAUAUUAUCAAUUUCCCAUGAAGUCAUUUCAAUAUUAGGUUCGGUAAGUAUAAUCAAUAUCAGAUUCGAAAGGAUAGAAGAAUAUACAUUGUUGAGAAACGUAUUGACCAAGUUGGUGAGCUGCAAAUGCCCUGCGUUGUGAGGGAUAUACAUAGCAGAACCUAGUGGAGUUCCUUCUGCGUCUGUUAACAGACACAUCACUGUGUUCAUCGCCAUCUCCGACGCUUCCGGCUCUAUGUUCGACGACAAACUCCGAUGGAAAAUAGACAAAGGCUUUUGCGAUAUAAAUAUAAACCCUAAAAGUAAAAGUUAUUUAUUUAAGUAAAUCCUCCAAAUUAACCCUCUAUUUAUAAAUAAACCCCAAAUUUUCCUUUUGAAGUCUUAUAACCCCUAAAUUACAAUUGCCAACCUAAAUGUUUUCAUGUAACGCCGUUAAUGAUUUAACCACGACGUGGUUAACACGCAUUUAACAUUAGAGAUCUUAAACUGCAAAGGAUUUAACCACAGUGUGGUAUUUUUUUUUUGGUAAGUGGGCUUUAAUUGUUGGUUAGCAUACAACUGUCAUUCUCGGAGAUUUGGACUUUAAAGGUAGGUAGGUACAUGUGCUAGUAGUUAACAAACAAACACACACUUAACAGUAGUUCAAACGCAACAACUCAGAAACUUCAGUUUUGUGUCUUUAUCCCAUCCUCUCAACUCUCUCUAUAAAUAAGAUUUCAAGUGCAUGCAUGUCUAUCUAUAUUUCAACAUCACAAAUACAAAAGAAAGAAACUCAAAGCGACGGCCAUGGCAAAAGUUGGGGAUCUAGAGACAUGCAUCAAUAACAGAAUUAAAGAGAUCGAGGAGGAAGAAGAACGUAAUUUGAAGAUACUUAAGGAGUUGGAGACUCAGAUCAUGUCCCCAACGGAAAAAGGUCGUAGCCUUUGAUCACCUUUCUCAAACCGAUAUUGAUUAAAAAAUUCUUUCUUUUUUUUGAGAUUGAGAUUGAUAAUUUAAGAUUGAUAAUUUAGGUACGCAACAUCCGUCUACAAGUAUCAACAAGCCAAUUCUUGGGGAUGAUGUCCCAAAGGCUUCAGAUGUUGCACCCGAAGGGGGACCUUCUUUCCGCCCAAAGGGAAAGGGAAACAUGAAACCAUCUGAUGACGAUGAUGAGAAGAAGACCAAUGAAGGAAAGAGCAGCAAGUCUGGUGGUGUGGAUGAUGCCUAAUGAAGCAGCCGUCGAAUAAUAAAAUUAAUGUUGUCUUGAAAUAAAGUUGUUGUUGUGUCUUUCCAUGCUCAUUUCAUAUUCCUAGUGUUUGUUGUUUAAUUUGGUCAAGCGUCGGUCAUGUUUGUUGUUGUGUCUUAAACCUAAAUAAUGGAAUGUUUAUUUGCUAAUAUAUGGAAAACUAUGAUGCAUAUAUUAUUUGCUAAUUUCUUUUCACACACCUCUUUACUUGAUAUUACGUUGUGAGGGAUAUACAUAGCAUAACCUAAUGGAGUUCCUUCUGCGCCUGUUAACAGACACAUCACUGUCUUUUUCGCCAUAUCUGAUCCUUCUUCCAGCUCCAUGUUAGACGACAAACUCCGAUUGAAAAUAGACAAAAAGCUUGCGAUAUAGACCUUAUGAAAGUGUUAUUAAAAAUUAGUUAUACAUUGGUGAUGAAAUAUAUUUUGAAUAUUCAUUUCACAAAGAAAUAAACUAUUGAAAACAUGUUGCUUCAUUGUCUGAAAAAGUCAAAUUUUGAAGAAAAAAAAGACUAAUCAUUAGAGACCUCUAAAAUCCCAAUUGUCAACCAAAUGAAACUAACCUUAGGCCGUUAAUGAUUUAACCACAACGUUAACACGCAUGCAUGUAACCACAACGUUAAUGGUUAACAACAAGCUUACAACAACCUUAAUAAAGUGGCGAGACUUACAUCAAAGACACAAAAUCUAGAAAUGAUUGGAACUUGACUUGAAAAGAUCCAAACGCAUAAGGUUCUUCUUGUUAAUAAACAUGAACCAUUUAGAUUUUCAAUAUACUAAUACAAACUAAGACAAAUAUCUUCUCCAAUCACCACCCCAAAUCAUUACCAAACGCACAACUGUAACUAAGCAAGAAGUACAUUAGGACCAAUCUCUUAAUCGUUGUCACGGAUUGGUCGCGUGUCAAUCAAGAUCAUCAAGAUCACUUUUAUGUCUUAGUGCUUCUUCUUCUUCUUCUUCUUGUUAUUAUUAUAUUUUGGUUUCUUGAGCAAAAAGUGUUAUGUUGUGAUCUUCAUUUGCCUUAGAGACAGAUAAGCUAGGAGGCGGUAACCGAAGAUCAUGGCAACGAGUGCAACCACUUCAGUCAGUCCAUUGUCUAUUCUCAUCCCGUUGAUAGAUUGAGCAAAGUCUUUAUACUGCACUUUAAGAAGAAGCUUGUAGGUGUGGUAAUUGAAGGAUAGGUAACGUAUCCAGGAGAUGAACACCGGUAAGACCUAGGAGACAAAAAAAAGUUACCUUCAAUAUAUGUUUGAGGAUUCCUUGACCCUGCUGAGUGAUCUCCCACAUCCUUAUGGUACUAUCUUGUGAACUGCACAAUAACAUGUUAACAAGAUAAAACACCAAUAAGAAACAUUUCAGGUUAUUAUAAAAAUGUAUGUACCCUGUGUAUAUAGUUCCAUCACCACCCCAUUUGACACAGGUCACAGCUCGUGUGUGUCCACUGAGGACAAUAAGAGUUCUCUUCAGUGUAAAGUCCCAGAUCCUUGCAUCCCCAUCUUUGCCACAAGUCACAAAUCUCCUGCUUGGAUAACUAAGAUGAGCUGGUUCCCACGCGAUACCACAAAUCCACUUCUUGUGACCCUACGAAAAAUUGAAGAUCUAUCAGUAAACACACACAAAAAAAAACAUAACCAACAAAACAUUUAUAAAGUAAAGAAGAGUUUAACUGAAAGUGCAUUGCCCUGUAAUUCUCCUUUGCUUGGAUCCCAACAACAGACUUUUCCAUCUCUAUCACCGCUCACAAGACACUUUGCAUCUGGUGACCAUGCAACUGCGAGAACAUGUUCCUUGUGCCCUGAACAAACGUUACAGGAACUAUGUUUAUUACAAGAAAUCUAAAUAUAGAUAGACAUCAUUAAAAAGAAAAUCAUAAGACGUUUCGAACCUUUGCAUGUAAACAUUGGAGUUUCAGUGUUGAGAUCCCAAAGCCUUACAGUUUUAUCACCUGAACCACUUGCUAGUUGCUUACCGUCAGGGCUAAACGAAACACAGAGAAUCUCACCCUCAUGAACUAACAAAAGCCAAUCAUAAUCACUCGAACCAUCUCUUCUAAAACUCAAAUACAAAAAUCAACAUUAACUUUAACAUAUAAUAUAUAUAUACCAUCGCUUAUUGUCUGUGAGCAACGGUAAACCGGGCGAAUCCUGAAAACAGCUUGUUGUCGAUAAACAAUCUUCAAAACAUUCUCCACGGACACUAAACCACACAUGUUCAUGUCAAAACAUUAAUAAAAAAUAUACUAAGAUAAUGUUUUCUAUAGAAAACAUAAGAGACCAAACUGCUUUGCUUAUUAUUAGGGUUUUACCGCUAUUUCUCUCCAUGCAAGUUCCCACUGAGACAAGAAGCUCUUCAUCUGAUACAUAGAAGCUGUAAGAUAACUUCUCCUCCUGGAUAUUAUCAAUUUCCCAUGAAGUCAUUUCAAUAUUAGGUUCGGUAAGUAUAAUCAAUAUCAGAUUCGAAAGGAUAGAAGAAUAUACAUUGUUGAGAAACGUAUUGACCAAGUUGGUGAGCUGCAAAUGCCCUGCGUUGUGAGGGAUAUACAUAGCAGAACCUAGUGGAGUUCCUUCUGCGUCUGUUAACAGACACAUCACUGUGUUCAUCGCCAUCUCCGACGCUUCCGGCUCUAUGUUAGACGACAGACUCCGAUGGAAAAUCGACAAAGGCUUUGCCAUAUAAAUAUAAACCCUAAAAGUAAAAGUUAUUUAUUUAAGUAAAUCCUCCAAAUUAACCCUCUAUUUAUAAAUAAACCCCAAAUUUUCCUUUUGAAGUCUUAUAACCCCUAAAUUACAAUUGCCAACCUAAAUGUUUUCAUGUAACGCCGUUAAUGAUUUAACCACGACGUGGUUAACACGCAUUUAACAUUAGAGAUCUUAAACUGCAAAGGAUUUAACCACAGUGUGGUAUUUUUUUUUUGGUAAGUGGGCUUUAAUUGUUGGUUAGCAUACAACUGUCAUUCUCGGAGAUUUGGACUUUAAAGGUAGGUAGGUACAUGUGCUAGUAGUUAACAAACAAACACACACUUAACAGUAGUUCAAACGCAACAACUCAGAAACUUCAGUUUUGUGUCUUUAUCCCAUCCUCUCAACUCUCUCUAUAAAUAAGAUUUCAAGUGCAUGCAUGUCUAUCUAUAUUUCAACAUCACAAAUACAAAAGAAAGAAACUCAAAGCGACGGCCAUGGCAAAAGUUGGGGAUCUAGAGACAUGCAUCAAUAACAGAAUUAAAGAGAUCGAGGAGGAAGAAGAACGUAAUUUGAAGAUACUUAAGGAGUUGGAGACUCAGAUCAUGUCCCCAACUUAACCUUUCCAUAGUUUAAGAGCUUUAUCAAGACCACCAGAAGCUACUUUCUCACCAUCUGGACUCCAAUCCACAGCCCAAACCUUUCCAACACAACAAAAAAAACGAAAAAUUAUGAGAGAAAAGAGUGUAAAAAAAAAAAGCAAAACCAACAACUUGAGCUUUGAAGUAGUUUGAUACCUCAUCCUUAUGACCAGGGAGAUCAUGUUUUAGCUUUUUUGUUCCAAUCUCCCAUACCUGUCAAAGUCAAACAUAUUGAGGUUUAUUUGGUAGUUCUACUCUCUACUGUGUUAUCAAAUGUAAAAACAGGAUUUCACCUUGAGAGUUGAAUCUUUGCUGCAACUCAAAAGCAUCCUACUGUCAGGUGACCAACUGAUCUGAUAGACACAGUUAGCGUGGCCUCGGAAUGCUGUAAUAAAUUUUCCUGUGACACCAUCCCAUAGCUUCACAGAUUUAUCGAACGAUGCACUUGCAAUCCAUUGCCCAUUUGGUGAGAAAUACACAUGGUUUACAAGCUGUUUAUUGAGUUGACACCAAACAAAAUGUAAGAGUUCAAAAAUAAAAACAGAAACAAAAAAAAAAAAAAAAGUUUAGUAGCUAGUAGUAACCUGUUGAUGACCAGUACCAACCUGGCUGUAGUAACCAUUUUUUGUUUAGGUUGUAAGCUAACGGAUGGUUCCCAAAGGAUUAUCGUAAAAUCAUCAGAACCAGACACUAAUCUUUCAGGAGAAUCUACUUUCCCUUUUGCUUUGAUGUAUCUUUCAAGUGCAAUCUUACCACACAUAUAGGGAGAGGAUCAGAAUCAGGCUAGAAAAAGACGAGGCAAAGCCAGUAGAAUCAUCAGAAGCUUAUUGUUACCUUUUUCAUUUCUUCAUCUGAACCUGUUACUUGUCUAGUGUUGUCAAACGCUCCUGUCCGAAGAACAUAUUCUGUACUCAAUGAAAGGGAGUUCACCCAACCGGCAUGGUCCUGAAGAAGCAAGUAACUUGAGAAAUGUUAUCUUAAAGUAAAGACCUAGGAGACAAAAAAAAGUUACCUUCAAUAUAUGUUUGAGGAUUCCUUGACCCUGCUGAGUGAUCUCCCACAUCCUUAUGGUACUAUCUUGUGAACUGCACAAUAACAUGUUAACAAGAUAAAACACCAAUAAGAAACAUUUCAGGUUAUUAUAAAAAUGUAUGUACCCUGUGUAUAUAGUUCCAUCACCACCCCAUUUGACACAGGUCACAGCUCGUGUGUGUCCACUGAGGACAAUAAGAGUUCUCUUCAGUGUAAAGUCCCAGAUCCUUGCAUCCCCAUCUUUGCCACAAGUCACAAAUCUCCUGCUUGGAUAACUAAGAUGAGCUGGUUCCCACGCGAUACCACAAAUCCACUUCUUGUGACCCUACGAAAAAUUGAAGAUCUAUCAGUAAACACACACAAAAAAAAACAUAACCAACAAAACAUUUAUAAAGUAAAGAAGAGUUUAACUGAAAGUGCAUUGCCCUGUAAUUCUCCUUUGCUUGGAUCCCAACAACAGACUUUUCCAUCUCUAUCACCGCUCACAAGACACUUUGCAUCUGGUGACCAUGCAACUGCGAGAACAUGUUCCUUGUGCCCUGAACAAACGUUACAGGAACUAUGUUUAUUACAAGAAAUCUAAAUAUAGAUAGACAUCAUUAAAAAGAAAAUCAUAAGACGUUUCGAACCUUUGCAUGUAAACAUUGGAGUUUCAGUGUUGAGAUCCCAAAGCCUUACAGUUUUAUCACCUGAACCACUUGCUAGUUGCUUACCGUCAGGGCUAAACGAAACACAGAGAAUCUCACCCUCAUGAACUAACAAAAGCCAAUCAUAAUCACUCGAACCAUCUCUUCUAAAACUCAAAUACAAAAAUCAACAUUAACUUUAACAUAUAAUAUAUAUAUACCAUCGCUUAUUGUCUGUGAGCAACGGUAAACCGGGCGAAUCCUGAAAACAGCUUGUUGUCGAUAAACAAUCUUCAAAACAUUCUCCACGGACACUAAACCACACAUGUUCAUGUCAAAACAUUAAUAAAAAAUAUACUAAGAUAAUGUUUUCUAUAGAAAACAUAAGAGACCAAACUGCUUUGCUUAUUAUUAGGGUUUUACCGCUAUUUCUCUCCAUGCAAGUUCCCACUGAGACAAGAAGCUCUUCAUCUGAUACAUAGAAGCUGUAAGAUAACUUCUCCUCCUGGAUAUUAUCAAUUUCCCAUGAAGUCAUUUCAAUAUUAGGUUCGGUAAGUAUAAUCAAUAUCAGAUUCGAAAGGAUAGAAGAAUAUACAUUGUUGAGAAACGUAUUGACCAAGUUGGUGAGCUGCAAAUGCCCUGCGUUGUGAGGGAUAUACAUAGCAGAACCUAGUGGAGUUCCUUCUGCGUCUGUUAACAGACACAUCACUGUGUUCAUCGCCAUCUCCGACGCUUCCGGCUCUAUGUUCGACGACAAACUCCGAUGGAAAAUAGACAAAGGCUUUUGCGAUAUAAAUAUAAACCCUAAAAGUAAAAGUUAUUUAUUUAAGUAAAUCCUCCAAAUUAACCCUCUAUUUAUAAAUAAACCCCAAAUUUUCCUUUUGAAGUCUUAUAACCCCUAAAUUACAAUUGCCAACCUAAAUGUUUUCAUGUAACGCCGUUAAUGAUUUAACCACGACGUGGUUAACACGCAUUUAACAUUAGAGAUCUUAAACUGCAAAGGAUUUAACCACAGUGUGGUAUUUUUUUUUUGGUAAGUGGGCUUUAAUUGUUGGUUAGCAUACAACUGUCAUUCUCGGAGAUUUGGACUUUAAAGGUAGGUAGGUACAUGUGCUAGUAGUUAACAAACAAACACACACUUAACAGUAGUUCAAACGCAACAACUCAGAAACUUCAGUUUUGUGUCUUUAUCCCAUCCUCUCAACUCUCUCUAUAAAUAAGAUUUCAAGUGCAUGCAUGUCUAUCUAUAUUUCAACAUCACAAAUACAAAAGAAAGAAACUCAAAGCGACGGCCAUGGCAAAAGUUGGGGAUCUAGAGACAUGCAUCAAUAACAGAAUUAAAGAGAUCGAGGAGGAAGAAGAACGUAAUUUGAAGAUACUUAAGGAGUUGGAGACUCAGAUCAUGUCCCCAACGGAAAAAGGUCGUAGCCUUUGAUCACCUUUCUCAAACCGAUAUUGAUUAAAAAAUUCUUUCUUUUUUUUGAGAUUGAGAUUGAUAAUUUAAGAUUGAUAAUUUAGGUACGCAACAUCCGUCUACAAGUAUCAACAAGCCAAUUCUUGGGGAUGAUGUCCCAAAGGCUUCAGAUGUUGCACCCGAAGGGGGACCUUCUUUCCGCCCAAAGGGAAAGGGAAACAUGAAACCAUCUGAUGACGAUGAUGAGAAGAAGACCAAUGAAGGAAAGAGCAGCAAGUCUGGUGGUGUGGAUGAUGCCUAAUGAAGCAGCCGUCGAAUAAUAAAAUUAAUGUUGUCUUGAAAUAAAGUUGUUGUUGUGUCUUUUCAUGCUCAUUUCAUAUUCCUAGUGUUUGUUGUUUAAUUUGGUCAAGCGUCGGUCAUGUUUGUUGUUGUGUCUUAAACCUAAAUAAUGGAAUGUUUAUUUGCUAAUAUAUGGAAAACUAUGAUGCAUAUAUUAUUUGCUAAUUUCUUUUCACACACCUCUUUACUUGAUAUUACGUUGUGAGGGAUAUACAUAGCAUAACCUAAUGGAGUUCCUUCUGCGCCUGUUAACAGACACAUCACUGUCUUUUUCGCCAUAUCUGAUCCUUCUUCCAGCUCCAUGUUAGACGACAAACUCCGAUUGAAAAUAGACAAAAAGCUUGCGAUAUAGACCUUAUGAAAGUGUUAUUAAAAAUUAGUUAUACAUUGGUGAUGAAAUAUAUUUUGAAUAUUCAUUUCACAAAGAAAUAAACUAUUGAAAACAUGUUGCUUCAUUGUCUGAAAAAGUCAAAUUUUGAAGAAAAAAAAGACUAAUCAUUAGAGACCUCUAAAAUCCCAAUUGUCAACCAAAUGAAACUAACCUUAGGCCGUUAAUGAUUUAACCACAACGUUAACACGCAUGCAUGUAACCACAACGUUAAUGGUUAACAACAAGCUUACAACAACCUUAAUAAAGUGGCGAGACUUACAUCAAAGACACAAAAUCUAGAAAUGAUUGGAACUUGACUUGAAAAGAUCCAAACGCAUAAGGUUCUUCUUGUUAAUAAACAUGAACCAUUUAGAUUUUCAAUAUACUAAUACAAACUAAGACAAAUAUCUUCUCCAAUCACCACCCCAAAUCAUUACCAAACGCACAACUGUAACUAAGCAAGAAGUACAUUAGGACCAAUCUCUUAAUCGUUGUCACGGAUUGGUCGCGUGUCAAUCAAGAUCAUCAAGAUCACUUUUAUGUCUUAGUGCUUCUUCUUCUUCUUCUUCUUGUUAUUAUUAUAUUUUGGUUUCUUGAGCAAAAAGUGUUAUGUUGUGAUCUUCAUUUGCCUUAGAGACAGAUAAGCUAGGAGGCGGUAACCGAAGAUCAUGGCAACGAGUGCAACCACUUCAGUCAGUCCAUUGUCUAUUCUCAUCCCGUUGAUAGAUUGAGCAAAGUCUUUAUACUGCACUUUAAGAAGAAGCUUGUAGGUGUGGUAAUUGAAGGAUAGGUAACGUAUCCAGGAGAUGAACACCGGUACUUUCUGAAGGACACAAAACAAAAGAGCUCAGAAACAGAGGAAAUCAAGAAACAAAGGAAAUCAAGAAACAGAGAACUUACCUUAACAAAGAAUCCUCCUGCGAGCAUAAAUGUCAUGACAGUAACUGAAGCCAAAGUCGUAGCCUUCUUUAAGUCCAUUAAGAUUGCUCCAAUAGCAAGUCCAAG
This 14901-nucleotide long non-coding RNA is filed under the name Brassica napus (rape). RNAcentral describes it as "long non-coding RNA (BNAP_LNC008989)". The record is from RNAcentral. Lineage: Eukaryota; Viridiplantae; Streptophyta; Magnoliopsida; Brassicales; Brassicaceae.